This 497-nucleotide ribosomal RNA is filed under the name uncultured bacterium. Its description in RNAcentral is "partial 16S ribosomal RNA". It matches the Rfam family "Bacterial small subunit ribosomal RNA", at positions 28 to 507 of the family's 1533-position model. The record is from RNAcentral.
GAUGAACGCUGGCGGCGUGCCUAAUACAUGCAAGUCGAGCGAACGGACGAGAAGCUUGCUUCUCUGAUGUUAGCGGCGGACGGGUGAGUAACACGUGGAUAACCUACCUAUAAGACUGGGAUAACUUCGGGAAACCGGAGCUAAUACCGGAUAAUAUUUUGAACCGCAUGGUUCAAAAGUGAAAGACGGUCUUGCUGUCACUUAUAGAUGGAUCCGCGCUGCAUUAGCUAGUUGGUAAGGUAACGGCUUACCAAGGCAACGAUGCAUAGCCGACCUGAGAGGGUGAUCGGCCACACGGGAACUGAGACACGGUCCAGACUCCUACGGGAGGCAGCAGUAGGGAAUCUUCCGCAAUGGGCGAAAGCCUGACGGAGCAACGCCGCGUGAGUGAUGAAGGUCUUCGGAUCGUAAAACUCUGUUAUUAGGGAAGAACAUAUGUGUAAGUAACUGUGCACAUCUUGACGUUACCUAAUCAGAAAGCCACGGCUAACUACGUG